GAGCCACAGCUGUUGUUCCUAAAACAGAUAAAAGGUGGUUGCUUUGAGGCAUAAAUGGAAUUUUUUUUUUUUUUUUUUUUGGAGGCAGCAUGGUGGCAUAGAAGCAUAUUGGAGAGUGGCACGUGGAAGCAGAAAGAAGCAUUGGAAGAAUGGGCUCCUUUGACCACAGGUUGAUACUGGACCCUUAGAAGAGUUGACUGAUACUAAGAUUAAGAGGAAGAAUCUACCCAUCCCAUGGUCCUCAGGCUGCUGGAUGUACCUCAUUUGCUGAACUCCCGUAGCUCUGCUACAGAGAGAGGAAAUGCUCCUUUUUACAUGAUCAACCCUUUGAUUUUUCAGAAUGGUUUCCAUUCCUCAGGGGAAAGACUUACGGAGUUCUGAAACCUAUGGGCUAACGGCAAGCUGAACUUCCCACAGUCCUGUCUGCACUUCUUUCCCUCCUGUUUGGUAGGGCAUCUGCCGAAGGAUGAUAUUCAACUAAUAAAUAUCCAGCACGGCCGCCCCGAACAGCCAGGAAUUUCUCCAACUCUUCCGACAUGGGAUCAUCUGCAGGGAUUUGAUGAAACAGCGGAGCGGACAGCUACAUUCGUUACAGUGUGUGUGACUAUGUGUGUGUGUCCCUCUCCUGCAAUUAGAUUGGGAAUCAAGUAAAGCUUUGCACAGUA
Long non-coding RNA from Ornithorhynchus anatinus (platypus), 665 nucleotides. RefSeq lists it as uncharacterized. The record is from RefSeq and is a predicted model, not a curated record. Lineage: Eukaryota; Metazoa; Chordata; Mammalia; Monotremata; Ornithorhynchidae. The transcript is spliced from 4 exons.